CUUCGCACUGGAUUUUUCGCACGAUGAGACCGUCUGGGCAUCAUUCUUCGGAUGCGCAGCUACAGCUAUCUACAGAGUAGGUCUCGACCAGGCCGUUGUGCAAAGGUGCAUGGCGUCCCGCACCCUGGCAGAAGCUCAGAGGACGGUUCAAGUAGGAACAUUUCUGCUUGUCACAGCGUACGCAGUACAGCUUUUCAUGUCUCUAGCAUUGAUUUUUUGGUUCAGAGGAUGUGAUCCACAGCUCCGUGGUGCUAUUGCGAGUCAUGAUCAGAUCCUGCCAUUCUAUGUGAAAACAUACCUGGUCCAAUUCAGGGGCUUCAGCGGAAUCUUUCUUGCUUCAAUUGUUAGCGCCGCAUCA
Long non-coding RNA from Dermacentor andersoni, 358 nucleotides. RefSeq lists it as uncharacterized. The record is from RefSeq and is a predicted model, not a curated record. NCBI's taxonomy places the organism in Eukaryota, Metazoa, Arthropoda, Arachnida, Ixodida, Ixodidae.